RNAcentral lists this ribosomal RNA (445 nucleotides) under uncultured bacterium. RNAcentral's name for it is "partial 16S ribosomal RNA". It matches the Rfam family "Bacterial small subunit ribosomal RNA", at positions 354 to 796 of the family's 1533-position model. The record is from RNAcentral.
GUGAGGAAUAUUGCGCAAUGGAGGCAACUCUGACGCAGCCAUGCCGCGUGCAGGAAGAAGGCGCUACGCGUUGUAAACUGCUUUUAACCGGGAAGAAACCCCAGGACGUGUCCUGGGUUGACGGUACCGGAGGAAUAAGCACCGGCUAACUUCGUGCCAGCAGCCGCGGUAAUACGAAGGGUGCAAGCGUUAUCCGGAGUCAUUGGGUUUAAAGGGUGCGUAGGCGGAGCGUUAAGUCAGUGGUGAAAUCCUGCAGCUUAACUGUAGACUUGCCAUUGAUACUGGCGCUCUUGAGUGCGCUUGAAGUGGGCGGAAUGUGCCGUGUAGCGGUGAAAUGCUUAGAUAUGGCACAGAACACCAAUUGCGAAGGCAGCUCACUAAGGCGAUACUGACGCUGAGGCACGAAAGCGUGGGGAUCGAACAGGAUUAGAAACCCCUGUAGUCC